GAGAAGGCUUACGACAAAGUCCCCAGGGAGGUGCUUUGGAGAUGCUUGGAGGUGAGUGAGGUACCGCUGGCAUAUAUCAGAGUAAUUAAGGAUAUGUAUAAUGGAGCGAAAACCCAGGUGAGGACGGCGGGAGGAGACUCGGAGCAUUUCACUGUCCUGACAGGAUUGCAUCAGGGAUCUACUCUUAGUCCCUUUUUAUUUGCGUUGGUGAUGGAUGUGUUGACGCGGCGUAUUCAAGGGGAGGUGCCGUGGUGUAUGCUUUUUGCAGAUGAUGUAGUUCUGAUAGAUGAGACUCGAGGGGGUGUGAAUGACAAAUUAGAGGUGUGGAGGCGAACUCUUGAGUCUAAAGGGUUCAGGGUGAGCAGAAGCAAGACAAAGUAUGUGGAAUGCAAGUUUAAUGACGUGAGGCGGGAGAAUGAGGUAGUAGUGAAGCUGGAAGCUUAGGAGGUAUGUAAGAGGGACAAGUUCAAGUAUCUUGGGUCCGUGAUCCAGAGAAACGGUGAGAUUGAUGAGAAUGUCUCGCACCGUAUUGGGGCGGGAUGGAUGAAGUGGAAACUCGCGUCGGGGGUGCUGUGUGAUAAGAAGGUGCCGCCCAAGCUUAAAGGCAAAUUCUACAGGGUGGUAGUCCGUCCGGCCUUGUUGUAUGGAGCGGAGUGUUGGCCAGUUAAGAACUCCCACAUCCAAAAAAUGAAGGUGGCAGAAAUGCGGAUGUUGCGCUGGAUGUGUGGACUGACUAGAGGGGAUAGAGUUCGGAAUGAGACUAUCCGGGAGAAGGUUGGUGUGACUUCAGUGGAGUGCAAGAUGCGGGAAGCACGAUUGAGAUGGUUCGGAUACGUGAAGAGGAGGAGCAUGGAUGCCCCGGUCCGUAGGUGUGAGAGGCUAGCGUUGGAUGGUUUUAGGCGGGGUAGGGGUAGGCCGAAGAAGUACUGGGGUGAGGUGGUUAGGCGGGACAUGGAACAGUUACAGCUCACCGAGGACAUGACCCUAGAUAGGAAGGUCUGGAGGACGCGAAUUACGACAGAGGAUUAAGGCCAGUUCGGGUCGCUAGUGUAGGGAAUUACUUGGUGGGGUUUUUAUUCUUGUCAUGAUUCCGUGUUCCGUGUUCCAUGUUGUAUUACGAAUCUGUGUGCUUUCCCCUGCUUUCCUCUGCUUUAUAUUACUUAUGGGUGUCGUAUUUAUGUUAUGUAAUCUGCUUCUGUGCUGCACUAUGUGUUUGUGUGGUAUCUCGUGCCUUGAGCCGGGGGUCUAUCGGAAACAGCCUUUCUACUUCAUCAGAGGUAGAGGUAUGGACUGCGUACAUCUUACCCCCCCAGACCCCACUAGGUGGGAAUACACUGGGUUUGUUGUUGUUGUUGUUGUUGUCUGUCUACUCUAUAUAGUGAGGUCUUUUUUCACCUGUUUGAUCUACCUUUAAAAGUUUAAAGAAGGAUUCUCUGUAUAACUUAAGUCCUAGUCGUUCCCAACCACUUCUUUGAAAUUAACAUUAUCUAUCAAGAAAUUCAAAAAUUUAAAAGGCUUUUGGACUCUACUAUUUUUAUUCUCUCAACAAAGUAAUAGGGGUUCAUGAUCUGAUCCAUCUCUAGGUAACCGCUCCACCUCCAAUGAGAGAAAAGCCCUUGAAAAUUAGAAUUAGAAAAGAUCCUAUCAUGUCUUUCAAAAAUGUACCCAUCUCCUACUCUACCAUUCCACCAUGUGAAAGGGCUAUCUUUGUGUUGGAUUUGCAUAACAUCACAGCCACCAACAAAAUUAUUAAAAUCUUUUGUAUCAGCGUCCGUCACAGGAAUUCCUCAUAUCUUAUCUUCCCUACUCAACAUUGCAUUAAAGUCUUCACCUAGAAUCCAUGGUCUUCUGGUUUCAUUAAAUAAAGAAAUGUAAUUAUCCCAUAAGUUCAACCUCAAAUUUAUAUCACACUUUGCAUAAAUAAUAGUUACUGAGAAGGAUAUAUCCGAAGACUGGUUGCACAAUAUUAGUGAUAAUUGCUGGUCAUUUUUGCUUACCAAGGUGGCAGAAAACCAUGAUUCACAAACAUCCAAAUUUUGCCAUUAUAGUUGUGAAACAUUAAAGGCAUUUGGAGUCUAUUUCUAUACUUGUUGAAAAGGUUCUAACAAUGCCAUAAAAGCAAAUUAAUGAAAUUUGUGCCGCAUCUGUACUGUAUGAAAAGCAUUUUGCGACUUAAUAGAUCUUAUGGUUGAAUUCUAACAGUUUGUGAAAGCUCUGUUUUUUCCUUACAUUUUCUGUUUUUAGCUAGUUUAACAUUCUUAAUAGCUCUUAGAGAUAAAUUAGCAUCAUGAAAAAUCUGAUCUUCUAACUACUCAGUGGUUUUCAUUAUUGUCCCUGAUUCCAGUAGACCACUAACUUCUACCUCCUCUUGGAAAUUGUGGGUUAGGAUACAAUGAAGCACAUCAUGGGUUUUCAACAUUUCUCCAAGUGUUGAUGCUUUGAUCAAUGACUAGAACUGUGUUGAACCUAGUGAAGCCUGUUCUUUCUACUGGUGAUGAUGCUUGUUUCUCUUUGCCUUCAGCAUUGAUCAACUUGGAUGUCCAGUCAUUGGUGGUUUUCUACUUAUCAGUCCUGUCCCCUUUAUCAUUAAUUUCCUGUGUAUCAAUAUGUUGUGUAAUAAAUUAUUAUUAACUUGUGUGUGAUCUUAUCCUUCCACCAUUAAUGUUUCAAAAGGGUUUAUAUUACAAACCCCUUUGUCAUGUGUGAUUGCUUUUUCACUCAGAUAACCUUAUUGAAGAACAUUCUCCUAAUAGGGUUCCAUUAGUGUCUCUGAUAAUGCCUUUGGUGCUUAUUUAUUGAUUCUUGUUUCUUUA
Molecule: long non-coding RNA, 2813 nt
Organism: Capsicum annuum
Lineage: Eukaryota; Viridiplantae; Streptophyta; Magnoliopsida; Solanales; Solanaceae
Exons: 3
Source: RefSeq, a predicted model, not a curated record